RNAcentral lists this long non-coding RNA (6230 nucleotides) under Sus scrofa (pig). RNAcentral describes it as "lncRNA (ENSSSCG00035055834.1)". The record is from RNAcentral. Lineage: Eukaryota; Metazoa; Chordata; Mammalia; Artiodactyla; Suidae.
AUUAAGUUGUAUGAGCUCUUUAUAUAUUUUGGAUAUCUUCUCAAAUACAUGAUUUGCAAAUAUUUUCUCCCUUUCUGUAGUUUUCUUUUUCAUUUAUUGCUUGCUUGCUAUACUGAAGAUUUUUAGUUUGAUAUAGUCCCACUUGUUUAUUUUUGCUUUUGUUGCCCUUGCUUUUGGUGUCAAAUCCCAAAAAUCAUCAGCUUACUGACUAUGUUUCCUUCUAAGAGUUUAUGGUUUCAAGUCUUACAUUUAAGUCUCUAAUCCAUCUUAAUUUUUUGUGCAUGGUGUAAGAUAAUGGUCUGAUUUCAUUCUUUUGCAUGUUCUGUACAGUUUAAAUUAUCUUAAAGAACCCACCAUGAUUCCUUCAUUCAGUGUCUCUGUCACUUGAACACAGAAUUUUUAUUCACAAUUAUAUCUGCACCACCUAAAAUUGUUUUUGAAAUCCACUUAAAAGGAAAAAUGAUUAUUUAAUUAAAUUUUAUCAAUGAAAGAAACUCAUAUCUAUGUUUUUACACUUAUUCUUCCACCCCUACUUCCUAGGCAAGUUUGUUCAUGACCCCAGCUUUCUCCUUCCAACAGUGGAUGUGGCUAAAAUUUUAUAAAUAGAAUGCUACACUAUUGGGUCUGGUCACUAUUCCUUUUUAAGAGAAGGGAGAUGUAGGCUCAGUUGCAGACUAUGUUGCAGAGCAUACAAAUUUUGUGCCAGUUCUACCAGUUUAAGUCUGUGGUCAUGUCUCAGAACUUUUACAGUGCUUUAUCUUAAUGUCCAUCUCCAUUAAAGCAGGCCUAGCUUUUGACUGGUCCAACUUCCACAAGGCUUUUCCAUUGGAAGCUGGGACAUAUCUAUCAUUACUUUAUCUUCCUAAACCUACUCUAAGGAGUAGAGAUCUACAAACUAUUGGCCCAGAUGAUUAAAAAUACAAAUUUAGAAAAAUCUAAACAUUUUAUGGUCAAGUUAUGCCAACCUAUAUCCAUGUGGUAGAUUCUGGGUAUAUAAAGAUGAGUCAGAUCCAAAAUGACAUCCGCCUGGAUGGAACUUAAAAUGUAAAGCACAUAACUUAGAUUCAGGGUAUAGUUUGUACCAAAGAAGAAAAGAAUCAACAUUUCAUUUGAGUAGAGUUGGUGUCACUUGUCUCUUUUUCAAAGAGAUAACCACAGCAAUCUGAAAAAUUAUUUAUUUGGAUUGAUAAUUUGUCCUUCUCUUUCCUUCUAGUAUUCCAGAGCAAGUUAAUUACACAGUGAAACUGAAAUUUCAUGAACACAGAAAUAAUUUAUUCAACAGAAUGUAUUUAUUGAAUGUCUAGGCUAUGCCAGAUACUGUUUUAAGUGGUGGAGAUAUAAUCAUGAAUAAAAAUUCUGUUUCAAGUGACAGAGACACUGAAUGAAGGAAUCAUGGUGGGUGGUGUGGUGAAGUUUAUAAAGUAGAGAAAGGGAGUGCUAAGGGAUCAGGAGAGGGCUAUUUUAUAUAGGAUGGGUGUGAAAGACCUCUUUUACAUGGUUGCAUUUGAGCCAAGAACUAAAGAUGUAGAGAGAAAGCUAUGAUGAGGACAGAACAUCCUAGACAGGGAACAGGGAGGACAGGAGCCCUGAGGUGACAGUGUGCCUGGCCUGAUGGAGAUGAUUGUAAAACUCCAGUUCAUGCCCAUGGACCUGGGUGCGGGGGAGGUGGUAGGAAGUUGUCAAAUUAUAUAACAAAAAUAAUACCAUUUACAGCAACAUUGAUGGAGCUAGAGAUUAUCAUACUAAGAGAAGUCAGUCAGAAAGUGAAGGACAAAUACCCUAUGAUAUCACGUGUGGAAUCUAAAAUAUGGCACAAAUGAACCUAUCUAUGAAACAGAAACAGACUCCCAGACUGUUGAACAGACUCGUGGUUGCUGAAGCGGGGUCAAGGAGGGAUCGACUGGGAGUUUGGGGUUAGUGGAUACAGGCUAUUACAUAUGGAAGGGAUAAACAACAAGAUCCUAGACAGCACAGGGAACUAUAUUCAAUAUCCUGAGAUAUACCAUAAUGGAAAAGAAUAUAAAAAAGUAUGUAUAUGCGUGUAUAACUGAAUCACUUUGCUGUACAGUAGAAUUCACAACAUUUGUCUAAGUCAACUAUAUUUCAAUAAUAAAAAAUCCUGAAAUUGAUUUGUUCAUCAUCCUCCAAAAAAGAAAAGAAAAAUCUCUAAACAGUAGCAUCACAAUUAGUACGAUGAAACAGAGGAAGAAAGAAUCUUGUCGUGUCUCCCAUCUCCCACUCCUUUGGGGUGUGUGUUCAUGGAGAGUAGUGACAGGCAGAGCUGCACACACUAUUUCUACCCUUGUUCUCUUUGUAGUUAUUAUGUGUGAUACAUGUGUGAAUGAAGCAACAUCUUACUAGAAUGACAGAGCUGGAAGUAGGAAAAAAUAUAACAAAGUGUACGGCGUGCACAGUACAAUUUCUAUAUAGAUCAUUUCUUGUUUGAUUACAUUUUAUACUUAUAAUGUUUUUCAUUUGGUGGUGGACUAGACAAAAACCCCUUGACAAUGUUGAAAUUUCCCCAAGCCCUCUGCUACUGGAAAAUAGCAGUAGUUAAGAAAUCACUCCACACUUCUGUGUUGUGGAGGUGGCUCACUGUGAAGAACUAGACUUCCCUGUAUGACUUAGAAAAGAUUUUCAGGUGUUUUUUCCCCUGUCCCCCUUCCUUGUUUACAAGGCCAGAGACAGACCUUCCAAAUUCUCAUUCUUUGUCUUAUUAAUGACUAGUAGGCUUUUUGCCCCCACCAUCCAAUCUGGGCAAAAUACUCAUUAACUUAACUUGAGGAUACUAAUCAGACCUCCCUUCCCAUAGACCCCAGGACACUGACUCAACCUUCAGCAAGCAUGAGAAAGGAGAACAGCACCUCCUUAAUGGUCCCUACUGAGAGCUGGCUGACCUCAGAGAAAAACAUUCCUGAUGAGCUAUCCAAGGUCACCAUCUCCUUAACCCCCACCCCUGCAUCACAAACACACACACCCAGCUCUUUCUAACCUUGUUUGCUCUUCCCUACAACAGAUGAAUCUUUCCACCUGUCUUUUGGGAGGAUUUCAGAUCUUAUGAAGGGGGUCUUCUCUCUACAGCAGUAGUCCCCACUGCUGUUGUAAUCCUCUCCUUCCCCAAAUGGCAACAGCAGUUUUUGAAUCACAUCUCUCCUUGUCUAAGUCCAAUUUCUUUUCCACCUGACAACCUUUAUUAAUUAGUAGUUUUUUAUUGUCUGUUUGUAUAUUCCUCCAUUUAUAGAACAACUUUUUAUUCAGUCUGUCCUCUGUGGACAUUCUCAGGUAUAAAGCAGUGAACAAAACAGAGUUCCUUCUCUAUGGAGCUUACAUUCUAGUUUGGGGAGGCAGCUAAAUAAGUGAAAUAUUUAAUAAAUCAGAUGGUUCUUUGGGCUAUGGAGAAAGUGAAAUCUAGCAAGAGAGAGAUGUUUUGGGUUGAGAGGGUUACAUUCUUUAGUAAAGUGGUUGGGGGUGUAUUUAGGUUAUUUAUACUUUUUAGAGCUGAAAGUGAGGACAUUAUGUCUCUAAUUCUGAAGUCUAUAAAUGGUAAUCAUUGAGAUUUCUGAAUGCAAGUGACACUCAAAACUGAGUAAGGAAGGCCCCUGAUCAUUUGGAGAAAUUUAUUUAUGUUUGAUUAGUUUGUUUCAAAUCAAGUUCAUGGAAGUGGUGGAGUUAAGAUGUAUGAUUUCCAGACUAAAGUUCUGGAAGAUGUAGGGCUGUUUUCAAGCUGAUAUAUCCAGGACAAAUUCUUAUUCCCAAUACCUCAGGCUGGUGUUGGACUAGCAAUAAAAGCAGCUGUUAAUGGAUCAUCUCCACCCAGUUUUUCAUCAUUUUCUUUUUGAUUUUAUGACUCCUAAAAAAGACUCUGCUCUGGUCAAUCACCAACAACCCAAAAUAAAGAUCCUUUAUAUUUUUGGAAGUUAUGCAUCCUAGGAUUUUCUUGAGUCAAUUUUUUGAAGUCAAAGUUUUGCAGGGUUUUGACAGUGUUUUGUAGUAGCAUUGUAACUUACAUAAGUAAAACACUCCCUUUUAAAUGCUUUGUGUUAUGUGUUUGUCAGAUUCUGAGACCGUUUAUAAACAUUUUUAAAAAAAUGACACUGUGACUCAGUACAGGCUAAGUGCUUUUGUUUCAUAUAAGCAAAAUGGCUAAAAAUUUGAAGGCUCAGUAGUCAUACUUAUGAAUUAAUUGAGAUUAUUUAUAAUCAGCACUUGGUAUUUCCUCAACAGACAGCUAUCUGUAAGCAGACAGUAUAAAUCAAAUGAAGACAUAAGGAUUGAUUAUGUCCAAUGUUCCCCAGACUGACACAAUGAAUCCCAAGGCAACAUUAACCAUUAUUUAUUUCUUUUAUAAAGCCCAAGAAAAUAGCCCAGGUGAAGCCUAGGUAUUUUUCCCCAUUAUAUCUGCCCCAACAUAUUCCAUCAGUAUCUAAUAAAUAUCUCAUAACUGGCUUUAAAAUUAUACUGCAGAGCUUUCAAAUGGGUAGCACUCAGAACAAAAUGGAUAAAUUGGAAAGCUUAUAUCAAAUCUAGUAGUUGAUCCUCUGGUACAAAUGCUUGGAGAUGCAGCCACUUCAACUCCCCAGAUACUUUUAAGGUAGCUAGCUAGUAUUUAAACUCACUCUGGCAUUAUUUCCCAGACCACUCAAGAAGCAAUAAUACAAGGUAAUCACUAAGUUAUUGCAUCUUGCUCCUCCCCCAAAUAAUAGUAAAUUAUGAAAACUGUUGAAAUUGUUCAAUAUUGUCCAGUUCAAGCUGUCCAUGAAUGAUGGUUAUGUGUGUUAAUGCCUAUCAAUAAACUAGAGCGUUAUAGGGUAGCUUUUUACUCUUGGUGCACUUGUAACCAAUAAGUAUAACACUUGAGCUUAACCUGAUAUGCUAAGGUAUUAAUAAUAGGGAGUGGCAGCAGGAAUAAUACUACUUUUAUUAUAAAAAGCGAAUUUCAAAUUAUGUUUUUGAUUUUCCUAUGUUAUUCACAUAAAAGUCAGAUUCAAACAUGGGGAACUUCUCAUUUUUUGUUUUGCUAUCUUCCUCUCUUUAGAAAUACACAUAAAUCAUCACAUUUUUCAACUUAGCUCACCACCCUUGUUGGAAUCUAUAUGGUUACUUAAGGAAGGCAGAUGUUAGUAUGUCGAUUGCUGAGCAGACGAGCAGGUUUUAAUUGGCUUAUUUGAUUCAGUAUCCAAAAGACUUAAAAAAAUUCUCGACUAUAACUUCAAGUAUUUCAAUUAUUUAGGCAAUCAAUGGGAUUAUCUUCUGGGCAAUUGACCAAUUGAACAGUUAUCAACCUGGAAAACAAUUAAAGCUUCAAGUGGUCAAAUAUUGACUGUGCAGCCAUGCCUUUAUUAGAGUAUGACUUGAAAUUAAAAUUGCACUAAAUCAUUCACUGGUUGAUGGAUUUCAUGGAGAUCUGAGCCCUCCACAUGGUUUCCCAAAGGUUAGGAUUAAGAGAGAGGAAUAUUGCUCAUAUUCACUAAUUCUAGAGACUAAUACACUGUCAAAGAUGUGGUAUGUGACACGGUUUGGAGCACAGUUAGCUGCAUCUAAAGUGAACUGCUUUUCUGUCGUUUUCAAAGAGAAUGGAUUUUACUAAAAGCAGAUGCUUGCAUUCCACCUGCUUUUGCUAAUUGCUGCAAUUUUCAGUGGUUUCUCACUGGAAUGGCUGUUGUUUGCAUUGCUGAUACAACCAGCUUGCCAUUGGAAAAUCUGCCAUAGCAGAUUAAACUCCUAGCAGUGCACACAUUUAUUUAUUCAUUCAGCAACAAUUAUUGAGGUCCUAUGCAGUGAGAAAACUGUGGUGGAUACUGGGGAUAAAAUUAUAAAGAAGACUCUAUCCUAAAGGAGAUUUCUGUAUAGUAUGACAUAUAAAUAAGUGAACAUUUACAGCCGAGUAUAACAAUUGCUAUUGGAAAUAUAAGGGUCAAGACAUAUGGGAGCUAAUUUCAAGGGCCACCCAACCAAUCUUAAUUAAGGAGGACUUCUCAGAAGAAGUUGUCUCUAAGCUGGCUGAUAAAAGGAAAAAAAAAAAAAAGUAGAAGUUAAUCAGUCAGAAGUGGGGAUAUGGAAGAGUGUUUUUUACCCUGAAAGCCCACUGUGUGCAAAGUUCCUUACUUGAGAGGGAGCACAGGCUUGUCUUAGAAAAAUUGCCCAUCAUGUCAAGAUCAUAGAGUUUGGGUCUAAAGAGUACCUGGGGCCACGUGACAAAGGGUGUUGUCAGAUAUAAAAAGCAUGUGGAA